AAAAUUUUAUCGAUUUUACUAUAAAAAAUCGAUAUGAAGUAUAUAAAGAAACUAUUAUGGAUGAAUUGCUAUGUAUCAUAAAGAAAUAUUAUAAAUCAACCAAUCGGGUUGAUAAAAACAUUGUUAAUUUAUUUUAACAACUGUAAAUCUAGGAUAAAUCCAACUUUUUAACGAAGUGAAUUGAAAUAUCUUAUUAACUUCAGGAAAAGAAAUCAAAUGAGAUUAUUUUUCACUUAAAAAAUGAAAGAUAAAAGUCUUUAAAGUAAAAUGGAAAUAAUCUGUUUGAAUAUAGGGAAACCUUUCUCUAAGACUAAAUAAUGAUAUAGCAUACAUGAUAAGCAACAGAACAUUAGUACCGUAAGGGAAAUAUCUGAAAUAGUAGUUUUAUAAGCAGCUCAAAUUUAAAUUAAAAAAUGAACGAGAGCGUACCUUUUGCAUAAUGGGUCAGCAAGUUAAUAUUAGAUGCGAGAUUACUUUUUUCUUUUUAAGAAAAACUUUAUCCCAGAUAAACCAAUUAUUAAAUAAUGAAUAAGUAUCUAGUAUUAGACCCGAAGCCUAGUGAUCUUACCAUGAUCAGGGUUAUAAAAGCUCGAACAGGUUAUCGUUGUAAAGAUAUCUGAUGAAUUGUGGUAAGUUAGUGAAAGACAAAACUGACUAGGAUAGCUGGUUUUCCGCGAAACCUAUAUAAGUAGGUAGUUUAAAAGUUAUCAUUGCAGGUACAGAAUUGUGAUCUCAGACAAAUUUUGAUUUAAAGCAUUGUUUAAUAAACAUGCAAAAUCUGUUUGUAUACAUUGGGGGAUCGUGAAGAUUUUAUCAGUGAGGAUUUGCUCUCGGAAGGGCAACGAUGAAUAUUAAACUGUCGGACAUAGUACGAUAAGGUUGUAUGUCUAAAGGGAAACAGCCCAGAACAAGAGUUAAAGGUUCCAAAAUUAUUGUUAAGUGAAAUUAAGGUAGUUUUUUUCAAAUACAACCAGGAAAUAGGCUUAGAAGCGGCCAUUUUUUAAAGACCUCGUAACAGAGCACUGGUUUAUUAUAAAAGUUAAACGCACCGAAAAUAUAACGGAUCUAAAACAGUAUACCGAAACCUUGUACAUAAUUAAAACUAAGAUAAUGAGUUAUUUUAUUGCAAAAUAAAGUAAUGUUAAUAUAAAUAUAUAUUGAGACAACUCUAUUGCUAUUGUUAAAAUCAUUAACAGUUAUAUUUAUGGGGUAGCGGAACGUUGGGUUAAUUCUUAGAAUUUAUAUCCUUGAUAUAAAUUAUCUUUAUAGUGAAUAAUAAAUAAUGGUAAAAUCGUUAAAAAGAGACUAUCCCAAGUGAUAAUGCUGACAUGAGUAACGAAAAAGGGUAACCCCCUCGCCUUAAGCUUAUGGUAUUUGCACACCAGUUAAAGUAACGGACCGUACCUAGACACUACCACAAGUAAGCAAGUAGAGAAUACAAAGGCGUUUGAGAUAACAAUCAUUAAGGAACUCGGCAAAUUGACUCCGUAACUUCGGGAUAAGGUGUGCCAUUAUUAUUAAGUAAUAAGAGGAGACAUAAAAUGGUGUUGUACGACUGUUUAAUUAAAACAAAGCACUUUGCAUAAGAUAAUAAAUCAAAGUAUUGAGUGUGAUUUCUGCCCAAUGUUGGCUGGUUAACGAAUUUUCUUAGUCAAAUAACACUAGGCUAGGUUUUGAAGGAACCCCCAAUCAAUGGCGGCCUUACCGAUGAGGGUCCUAAGGUAGCGGAAUACCCUGGCCGUUAAAUGCGGUCUUGCAUGAAUGAUUUAACGAUACAACAGCUGUCUCAAUGAUUGUCUCAGUGAAAUUGGAAUAACUGUGCAGAUACAGUUUUCUUCUAGUUAGACGAGAAGACCCUAUGCAGCUUUACUGUUGCUAGUUAUUGAAUAUAAUAAGACAAGUUGUAGUAUAUAAGGUUAUUGAUAAAAUAGAAGUGAAAUACCUUUACUUAGUCUAUUAUAUUGUUGAAAAGUAAUAUAUUUUAAUAUUCAAACGCUUAUCUUAAAGAUAAAUAGUUUUGUAGUUAUCUUAUAAUCUAGUAAGAAUAAUAUUGCAUUUAUUUAGGAAACAUUAGCUAGUGGACAGUUUAUGCGGGGCACAGAUCCCAUAAAAAGUACCUGGGUGUAUCCAAAGUUAAAAUUGUAAAUUCAUUAAAAUUUCUUAAUGAUUUUGUCUUGUUUUUAUUGUGUUUACAACCAUUAAAAAUAAGACACUAUUUUUACUUUGUAAUAGAUUAUUUUAUGAUUUAUUCACUUAUAUUUCUAUUAAGUUAGAUUAAUUAUAUUUUUUUUAGUAAGGUUUUAACUAUAUGGAAAAUAGAUGUUUAACUUGUCUUUAUUAUCAAUUAAAGAUAAAAAGAUGAUUUUUAAUAUUUACUGUUAAAGUUUAAUGGCUUAACCUUGCUUUACUGUUUGACUUACAUGUCUAUCAGUCGCGUAAGCGGGGCAUACGAUCACAAGAUGCAGAAAGGAAAGGUCUUGGAUUUUUGAAAAAAGCUACGCUAGGGAUAACAGGCUAAUUGCGCCAGAGAGUACAAAUUGAGUGCGCAGUUUGGCACCUCGAUGUCGGCUUAGCUCAUCCACAUGAAUGCAGGAAUCAUGAAGGGUACGACUGUUCGUCGGUUAAAGAGCUACACGAGCUGGGUUAAAUACGUCGUGAGACAGUAUGGUUUCUAUCUUCUAGAAGUAAUUAGAGUAAAACAAGGAUAGCCCCUUCGUACGAAAGGAGUUGGGUAUGGUAACCUCUGGUUUAUUUGUUGUUUACGGUAAUUAAGGCCUGAUAAUAGAUUCCGGGGAUGUGCUCGUUGAAGGCCUCUAAGAGUACCGCAGGUUCCCAUCAUAUAUUCACUAUUUAUAAUUAUAUGGAAAAUAGGCACAGCAAUAAAGCUACGUUAGUCAUAAAUAAGUGCUGAAUGCAUAUAGGCACGAAGUUUGUCUUGAGAUACUCUUAAAUAUACGUAAUAUAAUAUUACGAAUCGUAAACUUGCGAUUGUAUAGGUUUUGGUUUAAAGGAUUUUAAUUUCUUCA
RNAcentral lists this ribosomal RNA (3026 nucleotides) under Pseudocercospora mori. RNAcentral describes it as "LSU rRNA". It matches the Rfam family "Bacterial large subunit ribosomal RNA". The record is from RNAcentral. Lineage: Eukaryota; Fungi; Ascomycota; Dothideomycetes; Mycosphaerellales; Mycosphaerellaceae.